UACGGAGGGUGCAAGCGUUGUCCGGAUUUAUUGGGUUUAAAGGGUGCGUAGGCGGUCUUUUAAGUCAGUGGUGAAAGCCUCCAGCUCAACUGGAGAACUGCCAUUGAUACUGGAAGACUUGAGUAUAGUUGAGGUAGGCGGAAUUGACGGUGUAGCGGUGAAACGCAUAGAUAUCGUCAAGAACCCCGAUUGCGAAGGCAGCUUACUAAACUAUAACUGACGCUGAGGCACGAAAGUGUGGGGAUCAAACAGG
This 253-nucleotide ribosomal RNA is filed under the name uncultured bacterium. RNAcentral describes it as "partial 16S ribosomal RNA". It matches the Rfam family "Bacterial small subunit ribosomal RNA", at positions 524 to 776 of the family's 1533-position model. The record is from RNAcentral.